This 301-nucleotide ribosomal RNA is filed under the name uncultured bacterium. RNAcentral describes it as "partial 16S ribosomal RNA". It matches the Rfam family "Bacterial small subunit ribosomal RNA", at positions 509 to 808 of the family's 1533-position model. The record is from RNAcentral.
CAGUAGCCGCGGUAAAACGUAGGUCCCGAGCGUUGUCCGGAUUUAUUGGGCGUAAAGCGAGCGCAGGCGGUUUGAUAAGUCUGAAGUUAAAGGCUGUGGCUCAACCAUAGUUCGCUUUGGAAACUGUCAAACUUGAGUGCAGAAGGGGAGAGUGGAAUUCCAUGUGUAGCGGUGAAAUGCGUAGAUAUAUGGAGGAACACCGGUGGCGAAAGCGGCUCUCUGGUCUGUAACUGACGCUGAGGCUCGAAAGCGUGGGGAGCGAACAGGAUUAGAGACCCGCGUAGUCCCUGUCUCUUAUACA